RNAcentral lists this non-coding RNA (24 nucleotides) under Rattus norvegicus (Norway rat). Lineage: Eukaryota; Metazoa; Chordata; Mammalia; Rodentia; Muridae. The record is from RNAcentral.
UGAAUAAAGAAAAGUAACGGUGUC